RNAcentral lists this unclassified non-coding RNA (334 nucleotides) under uncultured fungus. Its description in RNAcentral is "partial contains 5.8S ribosomal RNA and internal transcribed spacer 2". The stretch from base 1 to 133 matches the Rfam family "5.8S ribosomal RNA", at positions 22 to 154 of the family's 154-position model. Lineage: Eukaryota; Fungi. The record is from RNAcentral.
UGGCUCUGGCAUCGAUGAAGAACGCAGCGAAAUGCGAUAAGUAAUGUGAAUUGCAGAAUUCAGUGAAUCAUCGAAUCUUUGAACGCACAUUGCGCCCUCUGGUAUUCCGGGGGGCAUGCCUGUUCGAGCGUCGUCGCACCCCACGAGCCCGGCUCGGUGUUGGGGCGCCCCUUCCCCGGAAGGCGGCCCCGAAAAACAGCGGCGGCGCGGCCCGGCCCGGAGCGCAUUGAUGAUCUCUCGCUCGCGCGGUCGCGGCGGCGUCGGCCGACCAAGCGGGGGCUCCGGCCCCCAUCUUCCAUGGUUUGACCUCGGAUCAGGCAGGGAUACCCGCUGA